UCCCUGAUAGCUCAGUUGGUAAAGUAUUUGCCUGCAAUGCAGGAGACCCUGGUUCAAUUCCUGGGUUGGAAG
RNAcentral lists this transfer RNA (72 nucleotides) under Bos taurus (domestic cattle). It matches the Rfam family "tRNA". Rfam says of the family: Transfer RNA (tRNA) molecules are approximately 80 nucleotides in length. Lineage: Eukaryota; Metazoa; Chordata; Mammalia; Artiodactyla; Bovidae. RNAcentral also lists the same sequence under 5 other names. The record is from Rfam by way of RNAcentral.